UACUUAAUUGGUAAUUUCUUUUAGGUUUAAAAUAAUUUCCAAUCACAGUUCAAGUAUUCCUCAAUCCUUGUGUUUGUUUUUUGGUUUCAUCACCUCAUAAUUUCCAAUAGCUUAGGUUCACUUGUUAUAGGUUUAAGUUUUGUUCCUUAUUGAAAAUUGGGUCAGUAUCUGUUCAAAUUUUAAAAUACACACAAAAUUAGUAAAAUACAUGCAAAAUUCCAAAAUCCUAAUCUAGGUUCAGAAUCAGAAAUACUUACAACUCCUUUGCACGAUAAUCUUUCCGGAUCUGCCGGAACCUCCUAAUUUAUCGUACACACGACACAAGUUAAUUAAUAUAAUUUUAAAUACUAAAUAGAAACUAAUUUAAUUGAAAUCAUGGGUUUCAAUGACAACCUGACGAAAUACCUGAAAAUAUCGGGUUCCCCCGAGGAAGACUCUUCGGCUUCCCGUGUGGUGGAUCGGAUUUUCGUACUCGAGGAAGACUUUUUGGCUUCCCAAGUGCUGAACUGGAUUCUCGAAUGGGUGAAUCAGGUUCUUAUUCCCGAGGAUAGCCCCUCAGUUUCCAUUGGUGAGUUAUUUUCCCACACCCGAGGAAGGCUCCUCAGUU
RNAcentral lists this long non-coding RNA (607 nucleotides) under Carica papaya (papaya). RNAcentral's name for it is "long non-coding RNA (CPAP_LNC004153)". The record is from RNAcentral. Lineage: Eukaryota; Viridiplantae; Streptophyta; Magnoliopsida; Brassicales; Caricaceae.